This 253-nucleotide ribosomal RNA is filed under the name uncultured bacterium. RNAcentral describes it as "partial 16S ribosomal RNA". It matches the Rfam family "Bacterial small subunit ribosomal RNA", at positions 524 to 776 of the family's 1533-position model. The record is from RNAcentral.
GACGUAGGGCGCGAGCGUUGUCCGGAAUUAUUGGGCGUAAAGAGCUCGUAGGCGGCUUGUCGCGUCGACUGUGAAAACCCGCGGCUCAACUGCGGGCCUGCAGCCGAUACGGGCAGGCUAGAGUUCGGUAGGGGAGACUGGAAUUCCUGGUGUAGCGGUGAAAUGCGCAGAUAUCGGGAGGAACACCAGUGGCGAAGGCGACUACCUGGCCUGUUCUUGACGCUGAGGCGCGAAAGCUAGGGGAGCAAACGGG